UAACCAUGCAGAUCCUUGUCAAAGUAGCAAAGGAGGGUUUUAAGUUCAGAGCAUUAAUAGUUUUAAAAAAUUUGGUGGAGCAGCUACGGCAUGAUUCAGUGUAAUAAUUCGAGCAGUCAAAUGCACCAUUCUGUGUAUGUGGAUAUUGCAGAGAGAUGCCAACAGACAGAAAGAGGGUGUGCUACAAAGAAAUACAAGAGUAGAACACUUGCACAUUCCAAAACAUUUGCUUGGACGCAGAUAAAUUGGCCACCUUCAUAAAGUUUUGGCAGAUACCUAUGUGUUUACACAAACAUAUGACAAUAGAGUGAUGAGGCAUGCAGCAUAUUGACAGUGUGUUAGUAGAUACAUAGCCAUGCAUGCCGUGUGUGGAAAAUUCGAAAAACAUCCUUCACCUGAUAGACAUUAUACCAGAUAUAGAGAUAUGCCUUGACCUAGAGGGUCAAGGGAGUGGGCAGUCAGGGUUUUAUAGUAGAAAAUUAAGCCCCGUUUACACGAGCAAAUUUUUUUUGACAAAUUUCAUUUGAUCAAAUACAUUUGAUCAAAAGCUAGCAUGCUGGCUUUUGUUCAAAUGCAUUUGUCACAAUAAAUUUGUCACAAAUUUAUCAUCUACACGAGCAAAAUAUCUUUGACAUAUGAAAUUUGUCAAAUAAAAUUUGCUCGUGUAAAUGGGGCUUUAUGGUUAUUUUGUUUCUAUGAUAUGGACAGAAUUGCACAAUUGUCCAUUUUAUCAAUUAUUGAAUAUAGCACAAAUAAAAUAUGUACAUUCACAAAUAGAAUUUAUAUAUAUCUGCUCUCUUUAUCCAUAAAUCUUUGCUUGUGGAGGCAUAAUUGUAGAUGAAGUUUUAUAUAAGAAUCCCA
Paramuricea clavata is the source of this 861-nucleotide non-coding RNA. NCBI's taxonomy places the organism in Eukaryota, Metazoa, Cnidaria, Anthozoa, Malacalcyonacea, Plexauridae. The record is from the annotation of a GenBank genome assembly.